Non-coding RNA from Trichobilharzia regenti, 47 nucleotides. The record is from Rfam. Lineage: Eukaryota; Metazoa; Platyhelminthes; Trematoda; Strigeidida; Schistosomatidae.
GUCCUGCUGAAAAGUCCCAAAACUAGGACGAAACAGCUGUCCAGCAC